ACAGAUAUAAGCUAGUUGUAAGUGUAUAGCACAUAUAUCCAUGGAACCAGCAAAAAAGGUUACAAUCCAAAAUGCUCUUUGUCCUACAAACCCUCCACCUCCAAGCGGGGGAAGUGCUUCAAGCUCUGAGCCUGCUAAACCACCACCCACCAUACAACAAAUCUUUCCCAAAAACACCAGCAAGAAAUGAAUGACUCAUUAGUCAUCAACUACGUACAAAUACAUCAGCACUACCUUCCACAAACUUGCUGUAGCUUCAUUAAUUCCAAUUAUCUGCAAAAUGGUCGUCACGUCCAUGAGGAUCAUCGACCUGUUAUAUAGUAUAUAUUCUUGCAAAAUUUAUAUGAUGUGUAUUGUUAAAAUAUUAGCUUUCGAUGUGUAACAGCA
RNAcentral lists this long non-coding RNA (387 nucleotides) under Glycine max (soybean). RNAcentral describes it as "long non-coding RNA (GMAX_LNC002417)". The record is from RNAcentral. Lineage: Eukaryota; Viridiplantae; Streptophyta; Magnoliopsida; Fabales; Fabaceae.